This 629-nucleotide ribosomal RNA is filed under the name Fictibacillus nanhaiensis. Its description in RNAcentral is "bacterial SSU rRNA". It matches the Rfam family "Bacterial small subunit ribosomal RNA", at positions 50 to 663 of the family's 1533-position model. The record is from RNAcentral. Lineage: Bacteria; Bacillati; Bacillota; Bacilli; Caryophanales; Fictibacillaceae.
UAUACAUGCAGUCGAGCGAUGAUGAGGAGCUUGCUCCUCUGAUUUAGCGGCGGACGGGUGAGUAACACGUGGGUAAUCUGCCUGUAAGACGGGGAUAACUCCGGGAAACCGGGGCUAAUACCGGAUAACAAGAGAAGAAGCAUUUCUUCUUUUUGAAAGUCGGUUUCGGCUGACACUUACAGAUGAGCCCGCGGCGCAUUAGCUAGUUGGUGAGGUAACGGCUCACCAAGGCGACGAUGCGUAGCCGACCUGAGAGGGUGAUCGGCCACACUGGGACUGAGACACGGCCCAGACUCCUACGGGAGGCAGCAGUAGGGAAUCUUCGGCAAUGGGCGAAAGCCUGACCGAGCAACGCCGCGUGAGCGAUGAAGGCCUUCGGGUCGUAAAGCUCUGUUGUUAGAGAAGAACAAGUACGAGAGUAACUGCUCGUACCUUGACGGUACCUAACCAGAAAGCCACGGCUAACUACGUGCCAGCAGCCGCGGUAAUACGUAGGUGGCAAGCGUUAUCCGGAAUUAUUGGGCGUAAAGCGCGCGCAGGCGGUCUCUUAAGUCUGAUGUGAAAGCCCACGGCUCAACCCGUGGAGGGUCAUUGGAAACUGGGAGACUUGAGUGCAGGAGAGAAAAGUG